This 497-nucleotide ribosomal RNA is filed under the name uncultured bacterium. RNAcentral's name for it is "partial 16S ribosomal RNA". It matches the Rfam family "Bacterial small subunit ribosomal RNA", at positions 28 to 507 of the family's 1533-position model. The record is from RNAcentral.
GAUGAACGCUGGCGGCGUGCCUAAUACAUGCAAGUCGAGCGAACAGACGAGGAGCUUGCUCCUCUGACGUUAGCGGCGGACGGGUGAGUAACACGUGGAUACCCUACCUAUAAGACUGGGAUAACUUCGGGAAACCGGAGCUAAUACCGUAUAAUAUAUUGAACCGCAUGGUUCAAUAGUGAAAGACGGUUUUGCUGUCACUUAUAGAUGGAUCCGCGCCGCAUUAGCUAGUUGGUAAGGUAACGGCUUACCAAGGCAACGAUGCGUAGCCGACCUGAGAGGGUGAUAGGCCACACUGGAACUGAGACACGGUCCAGACUCCUACGGGAGGCAGCAGUAGGGAAUCUUCCGCAAUGGGCGAAAGCCUGACGGAGCAACGCCGCGUGAGUGAUGAAGGUCUUCGGAUCGUAAAACUCUGUUAUUAGGGAAGAACAAAUGUGUAAGUAACUAUGCACGUCUUGACGGUACCUAAUCAGAAAGCCACGGCUAACUACGUG